Molecule: ribosomal RNA, 497 nt
Filed under: uncultured bacterium
Lineage: Bacteria
Description: partial 16S ribosomal RNA
Rfam family: Bacterial small subunit ribosomal RNA
Source: RNAcentral
GAUGAACGCUGGCGGCGUGCCUAAUACAUGCAAGUCGAGCGAACGGACGAGAAGCUUUCUUCUCUGAUGUUAGCGGCUGACGGGUGAGUAACACGUGGAUCACCUACCUCUAAGACUUGGAUAACUUCGUGAAACCGGAGCUACUACCGGAUAAUAUUUUGAACCGCAUGGUUCAAAAGUUCAAGACGGUCUUGCUGUCACUUAUAGAUGGAUCCGCGCUGCCUUAGCUAGUUGGUAAGGUAACGGCUUACCAAGGCAACGAUGCAUAGCCGACCUGAGAGGGGGAUAGGCCACACUGGAAAUGAGACACGGUCCAGACUCCUACGGGAGGCAGAAGUAGGGAAUCUUCAGCAAUGGGCGAAAGCCUGACGGAGCAACGCAGCGUGAGUGAGGAAGGUCUUCGGAUAGUAAAAAUCUGUUAUGAGGGAAGAACAUAUGUGUAAGUAAAUGUGCACAUCUUGACGGUACAUAAUCAGAAAGACAAGGCUAACUACGUG